GACGAACGCUGGCGGCGUGCUUAACACAUGCAAGUCGAACGGAAAGGCCCUGCUUGCAGGGUACUCGAGUGGCGAACGGGUGAGUAACACGUGGGUGAUCUGCCCUGCACUUCGGGAUAAGCCUGGGAAACUGGGUCUAAUACCGGCUAGGAGCCAUUUUUAGUGUGAUGGUUGGAAAGUUUUUUCGGUGUAGGAUGAGCUCGCGGCCUAUCAGCUUGUUGGGGGGGUAAUGGCCUACCAAGGCGGCGACGGGUAGCCGGCCUGCGAGGGUGGACGGCCACAUUGGGACUUAGAGACGGCCCAGACUCCGACGGGAGGCAGCAGUGGGGAAUAUUGCACAAGGGGCGCAAGCCUGAUGCAGCGACGCCGCGUGGGGGAUGACGGCCUUCGGGUUGUAAACUCCUUUCGCUAGGGACGAAGCUUGUUGUGACGGUACCUAGAUAAGAAGCACCGGCUAACUACGUG
RNAcentral lists this ribosomal RNA (465 nucleotides) under uncultured bacterium. RNAcentral describes it as "partial 16S ribosomal RNA". It matches the Rfam family "Bacterial small subunit ribosomal RNA", at positions 28 to 507 of the family's 1533-position model. The record is from RNAcentral.